CCUACGGGAGGCAGCAGUAGGGAAUAUUGCUCAAUGGGGGAAACCCUGAAGCAGCAACGCCGCGUGGAGGAUGAAGGUUUUCGGAUUGUAAACUCCUUUUGUUAGAGAAGAUAAUGACGGUAUCUAACGAAUAAGCACCGGCUAACUCCGUGCCAGCAGCCGCGGUAAUACGGAGGGGGCAAGCGUUACUCGGAAUCACUGGGCGUAAAGAGCGCGUAGGCGGGAUAGCAAGUCAGAUGUGAAAUCCUAGGGCUUAACCAUAGAACUGCAUUUGAAACUGUUAUUCUAGAGUAUGGGAGAGGUAGGUGGAAUUCUUGGUGUAGGGGUAAAAUCCGUAGAGAUCAAGAGGAAUACUCAUUGCGAAGGCGACCUGCUAGAACAUAACUGACGCUGAUGCGCGAAAGCGUGGGGAGCAAACAGGAUUAGAUACCCUUGUAGUC
This 440-nucleotide ribosomal RNA is filed under the name uncultured bacterium. RNAcentral describes it as "partial 16S ribosomal RNA". It matches the Rfam family "Bacterial small subunit ribosomal RNA", at positions 338 to 795 of the family's 1533-position model. The record is from RNAcentral.